Long non-coding RNA from Ictalurus punctatus (channel catfish), 609 nucleotides. Lineage: Eukaryota; Metazoa; Chordata; Actinopteri; Siluriformes; Ictaluridae. The record is from Ensembl.
CACAAGGAACUAAAAUCGCUCCUUCCCUGACUGCCACGCUGGCGCUGAAGAGACGGCCCCUCGUCAAGAACUCUGACAGCCAGAAAGCACAUGGCGGUGGGGCAGAGCCGCCGACACACCUCGGCCAGUGAAUGGUGCGCCGCCCGGGAAAAAUCCACCAUCCAGCAGAAUAUGGGAAAGUAUCAAAGGCCGCUCUUCCUCUCGUUCGGGGAGAAUGAUCUCACAUGAGAUAAGAUUCAGAUCCAGGCGAGGCCUCCGUUCCCUGACUGCGCGCGCGGCGUUGCCUGACGGCCCAAAAGAGCCCUCAUUUAUCCGGGAAGCACCGGCGUGACUCCGGUAAAAUCCUGCAAUUCCUGCCCGCACGCAAGCACACGGGAGCACACACACCCCCUGAAUACCAAAGAAAAGAAAAAUUAAUUUGACCACCUGACAACGGCCUCCUGUGUGUCUGUGCUCCACUCACCGCGGCUAAUUUCCUACACCCUGUAAAACCUAUACAGACUCAGCCGGACUCGACUCGGACUUGAGACUGACUCGGUCCCUUUUGGACUCGGACUCGAUUGGUCAAGGACUUGGUCUAGACUCGAACUCGACAAAGGUGGACUCAGA